Molecule: microRNA precursor, 59 nt
Filed under: Euprymna scolopes
Lineage: Eukaryota; Metazoa; Mollusca; Cephalopoda; Sepiida; Sepiolidae
Description: Esc-Mir-210-P16_pre stem-loop
Source: RNAcentral
GUCUCUGUCCUCCGUACUAACAUGUGCUAUAUACUGUGUUGUGCGUGAGACAGCGACCG